AUGAACGCUGGCAGCGUGCCUCAUCCCUGCCAGUCGAGCGAACAGACGAGGAGCUUGCUCCUCUGACGUUAGCGGCGGACGGGUGAGUAACACGUGGAUAACCUACCUAUAAGACUGGGAUAACUUCGGGAAACCGGAGCUAAUACCGGAUAAUAUAUUGAACCGCAUGGUUCAAUAGUGAAAGACGGUUUUGCUGUCACUUAUAGAUGGAUCCGCGCCGCAUUAGCUAGUUGGUAAGGUAACGGCUUACCAAGGCAACGAUGCGUAGCCGACCUGAGAGGGUGAUCGGCCACACUGGAACUGAGACACGGUCCAGACUCCUACGGGAGGCAGCAGUAGGGAAUCUUCCGCAAUGGGCGAAAGCUUGACGGAGCAACGCCGCGUGAGUGAUGAAGGUCUUCGGAUCGUAAAACUCUGUUAUUAGGGAAGAACAAAUGUGUAAGUAACUAUGCACGUCUUGACGGUACCUAAUCAGAAAGCCACGGCUAACUACGUG
This 496-nucleotide ribosomal RNA is filed under the name uncultured bacterium. RNAcentral's name for it is "partial 16S ribosomal RNA". It matches the Rfam family "Bacterial small subunit ribosomal RNA", at positions 29 to 507 of the family's 1533-position model. The record is from RNAcentral.